GGAACUUUACAGUUCUCUGACUUCAACCAGGUCAAGAGUGUAAUACUUUUUCUAAUGACCUUUUAUAGGUGAUUGGUAAGUCCAAAAGACUUGUAAAGAGUUUCAGAAGAGGAUUUGCCUAGCUUUAGGGAUUCUUAGGAACAGAAGACAAGCAACUGAUUAUCAGAUAGAGUACUGGAUUUGCAAUCAGAAUUAUGCUCAUUUAAAUUUCACCUUUGAUACUACCUGGAUGAUACCCACCUUGAACAUGUUGGCUGGAGCAAAUAAUUGUAACAGCACUCAAGAAAUGAAUGAAUACCACAGGGAACAGCUUCAACCCCCCCCCCAUCCCUCUGCCCCUGACAACGUGAGUAAUUUUUGAGAAUUUUUUGAAUUCUGGAGAUGGAGCCAAGAUGGUGGACUAAUCUUCAGCAGCUCUGUACCACCAU
RNAcentral lists this long non-coding RNA (428 nucleotides) under Monodelphis domestica (gray short-tailed opossum). RNAcentral's name for it is "lncRNA (ENSMODG00000049934.1)". Lineage: Eukaryota; Metazoa; Chordata; Mammalia; Didelphimorphia; Didelphidae. The record is from RNAcentral.